Molecule: ribosomal RNA, 305 nt
Filed under: uncultured bacterium
Lineage: Bacteria
Description: bacterial SSU rRNA
Rfam family: Bacterial small subunit ribosomal RNA
Source: RNAcentral
UUACACCUACGGGACGCAGCAGUGGGGAAUAUUGCACAAUGGGGGAAACCCUGAUGCAGCGACGCCGCGUGAGUGAGGAAGUAUUUCGGUAUGUAAAGCUCUAUCAGCAGGGAAGAAAAUGACGGUACCUGACUAAGAAGCCCCGGCUAACUACGUGCCAGCAGCCGCGGUAAUACGGAGGAUGCGAGCGUUAUCCGGAUUUAUUGGGUUUAAAGGGUGCGUAGGCGGGCUGUUAAGUCAGCGGUAAAAGCCCGGGGCUCAACCCCGGCGAGCCGUUGAAACUGGCUGUCUUGAGAUGUCGAGAG